RNAcentral lists this ribosomal RNA (519 nucleotides) under uncultured eukaryote. RNAcentral describes it as "SSU rRNA". It matches the Rfam family "Eukaryotic small subunit ribosomal RNA", at positions 1161 to 1702 of the family's 1831-position model. The record is from RNAcentral.
AGGGCACCACCAGGAGUGGAGCCUGCGGCUUAAUUUGACUUAACACGGGAAAUCUCACCAGGCCCGGACACCGGAAGGAUUGACAGAUUGAGAGCUCUUUCUUGAUUCGGUGGGUGGUGGUGCAUGGCCGUUCUUAGUUGGUGGAGCGAUUUGUCUGGUUAAUUCCGAUAACGAACGAGACUCUGGCCUACUAACUAGAUAUUGAAUCCCUUUGUGGGUUCUAUACAGCUUCUUAGAGGGACGGGCGGCGUUUAGCCGCACGAGAAUGAGCAAUAACAGGUCUGUGAUGCCCUUAGAUGUUCUGGGCUGCACGCGCGCUACACUGAAAGAAUCAGCGUGUGUUCCCGAUCCGAGAGGACUGGGAAACCCGUUGAACCUCUUUCGUGAUGGGGAUUGGAGAUUGCAAUUAUUCUCCAUGAACGAGGAAUUCCCAGUAGGCGCGAGUCAUAAGCUUGCGUCGAUUACGUCCCUGCCCUUUGUACACACCGCCCGUCGCUACUACCGAUCGAGUGAUUUAGU